GACGAACGCUGGCGGCGUGCUUGACACAUGCAAGUCGAACGGAAAGGCCUGCUUUCCCUUGUGGAUUGCGGGUACUCGAGUGGCGAACGGGUGAGUAACACGUGAGUGAUCUGCCCCCAACUUGGGUAUAAGCCUGGGAAACUGGGUCUAAUUCCCGAUAGGACUGCAGGGUGGUGCCUGUGGUGGAAAACGAUUUUCUAGUGGUUGGGGAUGAGCUCGCGGCCUAUCAGCUUGUUGGUGGGGUAAUGGCCUACCAAGGCGGCGACGGGUAGCCGGCCUGAGAGGGUGGACGGCCACAUUGGGACUGAGAUACGGCCCAGACUCCUACGGGAGGCAGCAGUGGGGAAUAUAGCACAAUGGGCGGAAGCCUGAUGCAGCGACGCCGCGUGGGGGAUGACGGCCUUCGGGUUGUAAACUCCUUUCGACCGCGAGGAAGCCACCUGGUUGGAAGGGUGGUGACGGUAGUGGUAGAAGAAGCACCGGCUAACUACGU
Molecule: ribosomal RNA, 493 nt
Filed under: uncultured bacterium
Lineage: Bacteria
Description: partial 16S ribosomal RNA
Rfam family: Bacterial small subunit ribosomal RNA
Source: RNAcentral